This 73-nucleotide transfer RNA is filed under the name Anhinga rufa (African darter). Its description in RNAcentral is "tRNA-Asn". The record is from RNAcentral. Lineage: Eukaryota; Metazoa; Chordata; Aves; Suliformes; Anhingidae.
UAGACAGAAGCCCGUUGGUUGGGGCAUCUAGCUGUUAACUAGGGUUUCAUGGGAUCGAAGCCCAUCUGUCUAG